Molecule: ribosomal RNA, 417 nt
Filed under: uncultured bacterium
Lineage: Bacteria
Description: bacterial SSU rRNA
Rfam family: Bacterial small subunit ribosomal RNA
Source: RNAcentral
UAUUGGUCAAUGGGCGGGAGCCUGAACCAGCCAAGUCGCGUGAGGGAGUAAGGCCCUACGGGUCGUAAACCUCUUUUGCCGGGGAGCAGGGCGGCGGACGUUUCCGCCGUUUGAGAGUACCCGGAGCAAAAGCAUCGGCGAACUCCGUGCCCGCAGCCGCGGUAAUACGGAGGAUGCGAGCGUUAUCCGGAUUUAUUGGGUUUAAAGGGUGCGUAGGCGGGCUUUUAAGUCAGCGGUAAAAAUUCGGGGCUCAACCCCGUCCGGCCGUUGAAACUGGGGGCCUUGAGUGGGCGAGAAGAAGGCGGAAAGCGUAGUGUAGCGGUGAAAUGCAUAGAUAUCAAGCAGAACCCCGAUUGCGAAGGCAGCCUUCCGGCGCCCUACUGACGCUGAGGCACGAGAGUGCGGGGAUCGAACAGG